This 1389-nucleotide long non-coding RNA is filed under the name Nicotiana tabacum (common tobacco). Its description in RNAcentral is "long non-coding RNA (NTAB_LNC012623)". Lineage: Eukaryota; Viridiplantae; Streptophyta; Magnoliopsida; Solanales; Solanaceae. The record is from RNAcentral.
CCCCCUCUUCACACGCCUCUGCCCGUCAACAACACCCUGAAACCCGUCGGAAAAGUCAUUUUUUCGGUGUUCCACGUAAGCCCUGGUCCCCCCAUGGCCCCCCUCGCCUCAUCCUCCACAUCACUCAACCAUAACGAUCUCUGACAGCAUAAGAUAUUCCAUUUUUUCCUUUCCCACGCGCUCUUGCUUCUAUGGGAUGAAAUUCGGAUUAAUGGUUGACGUAGGAGUUGAAGACUUUAAAUCCUAGUCUUCCAUUUGUCUUAGAAGCAUCCAGAAAGGAGAACAAGGGGGGAUUUUUGUUUGGGGGCAGAAGGUUUUCGGAUUUGAGGAGGAUCCACACAGAUUUUCGGGUUUUCUUGGAAGACAAGGAUAGAAGGUUCUAGGUUGGCAUAUAUAUGGGGGUGGUAUUUUAGAAUUCAGGGAAGGAGAGAAAAGAAAUCAGAAAAUCGGGAAGGAUGAAGUUCUAGGGUUUUGAUUUUGAUUUCCAGAUUUUUCUCUUCUAAUUUUUGGUUUUUGUUUCCAUAUAUAUAUAUAUAUAUAUAUAAACAAAGAUGAGUUCCUUGUAGUUUCAAUUUUUCUUUUAAGUCAAAAAAUACAAAAAAAAAGAAGCGGUUUUCUUCUUUUGGAUUUUUGAUUCUUGGUUUUCCUUCUAGACCUUCAUUUUAGUUCAUUCAAAAAUUAGUUCAUUUGAAUUUGAAUUUCGCUUCAAAAAUCAGAAAACAAAAACUAUAUAGUGAGUAAAAAAGACUCUAUUUUCUUCACUUCUAUUUCAGAUUCGCAAUUCAACUAUGGAGUUUGAUCGAGGUUUGCCAUGGAGUUGAAGCUGUCUUUCGAGGUCAGCUCGUGGUUCCUUUUACGUCUCGGAUUUCAGUAGAGUAUUUUCCUUUCAAGCUCACUGCUUGGUUUUAUGCUGAUUGUACCAUAUUCGAACAUAGAAGGAUAAUUGAAAUUCCAGUUUUCAGGUUCAUACCUCAUCCUCUACUGCUUUUAUGUGGAUCCAAGUACUAAGUUAAUCUAGUUUGAACGAUUUACCUUCUAUGCUUUGGAUGUUCUUAGAUUCCUUUACAUGUUGAAGUAUCUUUCAAGGUCAGAUUUAUUUAGUUUAAGAUGACCGAGUCAUUGGCUGCGUUUUGUAAGUUUAUCUCGUUUGCUUGCUAAGUCUAGUUUGAAGCUGAUUUGAAGCUCUCUCUAUGGUGGUUAUUCAUCUUUGUCGAACUGGUUCAUCUGUUUGUGAAUGGUAAUCGAGUUUGAUUCUGUUUGGUUUGGUAUGCUUUGACCAAGGUCUAGAUGGUUGUGUUACUGUCAAGUGGAUCAUGGCCCGCUGUAUUUUUCUUGAUGUUGGAGCAUAACCCUGUCCAUGUUUUAGUAGAUUGAAAAGUCAGUGAUUCU